UGUUUCUUAUCUAUGGCCUAGAAAGGCACACCUGUAAUCAGUAUUUCCUCUUUCUAAAUGUGUCAGUCUAUUUAUUAUAAUUGUUAUUACUGUUGAAUCUGAUUUAAACCUAAAGUUCCCUUGAGGCCAGUAGGCUACAUUUGAAGCUUACAAAUAAGUUAUUGUAAAAUGGAUGUAAUUAUAGUAAAAGUAACCACCACAUUGAAUGAGGCUGUUAGUAUACUAGACAACAAAAUGUAUUCAUGGUGUUACCAUGGAGAGAAUGGAAACAUUUUGGACUCAUUUUAAAGAAGGCACCUUUAUUCUAAGUGUGCCUUUAAAUGAGUAACUUGAAACAAAUGACUUGGCUUUUUACAAAAUUAGAACAAACUGAAUAUACAUCUCUUUAAAGCUGGGCUAUUACAGGGACAUAACAGUAAAUGCUAAUGUACAUACUGAUGGUUGGCACAUGCAAAUGAGCAUGCUGAUCACUAGUUCACAUCACGAUUCAUUAUGGCACACAACUGCCAGAAAUCAAAGUUAAGCAAAAAGCAGCUACCAACUGCAUAGUCUUCCCUCCUUAUGGAGCCAUUUUGCCCCACAAUCCCCUUUGUGAUUAGCAAAAAGCUUGGAAAUAGAGGCUAAAAUAAACAAUAAGAGGACUAAUGAAUUACUGGCUAAUUUUAAAAUGGCACAGAACCUUGGAGAGGGGAGGAAGCACCAGCUGAGAUGAGUACAUAUUUCCCUAGAGCAUUUCACAUGAUGCAUUGGUGAAUGACUGCCUCUGAGAAAGCACUCUGAUCUUGGAAGCUGAGCGACACAAAUACUUGGCGUCGAAGAAGUUGGCAUGGCAACCCUGCAUUUGCAAUGCUCUACCUACAGAACAACCUAAUGGAGAAAAUGAGGAGAAAAGCAGGUCAUCGUGAUGUGUAUGAGUUUUGGAAAACACUACCAUUAGAUACGAGAAGCCAGUUAAAGAGUUUUAGGAAGAGACGCAGACAUUCAAGAAAGUCAAACAAUUUCAAGAAAAAGGAAAGAUGUCCCUUGGUGAUGGCUAAAGGAGGCCUACACUUCCCCUCACAAACUUCCCACUGAUUCUCAAGAAGGACAAGGACAAAGACAUUCUACUGGCCACUGUGCCAAAGUGGGCCAAGGUGAGUUCCACCCACUUUGACAGGAUAUCAAUCCUAAGAACUUUCAAAGAAUCCCAUUCCAAAGCAGCUAAUUCUAUAUUAAUCUCAGAGACAUAGUACUUGCAUCUACAUUGUUGGGUUUAGGACACUAUAUUACAUGUUAUCUGUUUACAUGUCGUGGUAGAUAGAAUAAUGGCCUCCCAAAGAUGUUCACAUCCUCAUCCCUGGACCCUGUGAAUAUGUUACCUAAUAUAAGGAAAGAGAUUUUACAGAUGUGAAUAAAUAAGGACCAUGAGAUGGUGAGAUUAGCCUGGAUUAUCUGGGUGAGCCCAAUGUGAUCACAAGGAUACUUAUAUGGAGAAGGGGGAGGCAGAUUAGUCAAAGAAGGAAACGUGACAAAGAAACAAGAUUGGAAUGAUGCAACGUGAGAAAAACUCAACCGGCUAUUUCCGGCUUUAAAGAUGCAAAAGAGUCAUGAGCCAAGGAAUAUAGAAGCUUCUAGAACCUGGAAAAAGUAAGAAAAUCGAUCUCCCCUGGGCUUCCUGCUAAUGGCUUAUUGCAUCUCAUUGAGGAGUAUUUUGGA
Molecule: non-coding RNA, 1695 nt
Organism: Callithrix jacchus (white-tufted-ear marmoset)
Lineage: Eukaryota; Metazoa; Chordata; Mammalia; Primates; Cebidae
Source: RefSeq, a predicted model, not a curated record